CUUUUCGGCCGCGGCGCGUGACUGGCCAUCCCCCACCGCCACCAGUGCCGUUCAUUUGCUACUGGCCCGCAGUCAGAUAAUUUAAAGGCUUGGAGGGACGAGUCUUGCUGGAGCCGACGCCUACAGCUUGGUGGAGUUUCAAGAUGCUGAUGAACUUAAGGUCUGGCGCUUGAAAGAAUCAGUGAAGCUUUUCAAGUAGAGGAGUGGUGUUUCCAGUGAAAUCUAUGGCAAGAUGGUUUGGGGUCACUAUCUACAUGAACUGCCAAGUUGGAAAAUCAAAAAUACAUCAAAAUCACUCUUGGGACAUAAGUCACGGAAGUGACUCAUGCACACAAUAAAUACCCAAGAAGCAGGACCAGACGGCAGUUGUGUAUUGGCACGCUCAUCAGUGCUGCAAAAAUUCCCCUUCUGGAUGGCAACAACAAUGCUGUAUCCACAGCAGCAUUUUAAAUCUCACCUCUGAUUACUCUACUUUGAAGAAAGGAAUGGAACAGAAGGUGUCUGCAUAACUAAAUGGGGAUCUAGAGAAAGUGGAGACUGCCUCUGGAGCAGGGAGGAUUAUGCCACCAUGACUAGAAGGCCCCCUAAUGGAGUUUAUCUGCACUGCAAGGGGCCAGUUGUCUCAGAAUCAUCCUCCGUUGACAUCUCCAUCUCCAGGACAGCUCCACACUAAUCUGUUUCAAAGACAAAAUCCAGUCUAAUCAGUUUGAUGUAUGUUUCUGGGAAUAGAGCCGAAUGUUGUAGCUGAUGGAAUGGAGUCUCAUACCAUUGAUUUUGCAGCUGGACAAGUGCCCUGCCAUGUUACUGCCACUCUUUAAGGCAGAAUAGAGCACAUUGUAUCAUUUAUAGGCCUCUCACAGUGAGAAAUAUGUGGAACUUUGGAAAUCAGAAUCUAAAACUGCAGUCCAAUGGGGUAGCCACUAUUCACAUGUGCUAUUGAGUACCUAAAAUGUGGCUAGACCAAGUUGACAUGUGCUGAAGGGUGAAAAACACCAGGAGUGAAGAAUUAACUUGAAAAAAAUGUAAACUAUCUCAAUUUUAUAUUGAUUACAAAUUAAAUGAUGUUUUGAAUAUAUUGAGUUAAAUGAAAUACAUUUUUUAAUGAUACAUGAUGCGUAUUAUAUUUCUGUUGGACAGUACUGGUCUAAAACAGUUGAUUCACUAUCCAGUAGAGAGAAAGGUAUUGCUGUUUUACCAUAUGUGACCUUCAGGGAAAAGAAGAAUAAAAUUAGCACUUGAAAAUGGAAAAA
Long non-coding RNA from Homo sapiens (human), 1250 nucleotides. Ensembl annotates it as small nucleolar RNA host gene 26. Its record names the gene SNHG26. NCBI's taxonomy places the organism in Eukaryota, Metazoa, Chordata, Mammalia, Primates, Hominidae. The record is from Ensembl.